This 320-nucleotide ribosomal RNA is filed under the name uncultured eukaryote. RNAcentral's name for it is "partial 18S ribosomal RNA". It matches the Rfam family "Eukaryotic small subunit ribosomal RNA", at positions 1470 to 1796 of the family's 1831-position model. The record is from RNAcentral.
CCCCUAGAUGUUCUGGGCCGCACGCGCGCUACACUGAACAGUUCAACAAGUCUUAACCUUGGCCGAUAGGUCUGGGUAAUCUUUGAACGCUGUUCGUGAUUGGGAUAGACCUUUGCAAUUAUGGGUCUUCAACGAGGAAUUCCUAGUAAACGCGAGUCAUCAGCUUGCAUUGAUUACGUCCCUGCCCUUUGUACACACCGCCCGUCGCACCUACCGAUUGAAUGGUCCGGUGAAAUCUCGGGACGGCGGCUUGGUCGCUUGCGUCCGACUGCUGAAACUUGAUUAAACCAUAUCAUUUAGAGGAAGGUGAANUCGUAACA